GGUGGCUCAGUGGUAGAGCGCUUGCCUAGCAUGCAUGAAGCCCUGGGUUUGAUUCCUCAGAACCA
This 65-nucleotide transfer RNA is filed under the name Dipodomys ordii (Ord's kangaroo rat). It matches the Rfam family "tRNA". Rfam says of the family: Transfer RNA (tRNA) molecules are approximately 80 nucleotides in length. Their secondary structure includes four short double-helical elements and three loops (D, anti-codon, and T loops). Lineage: Eukaryota; Metazoa; Chordata; Mammalia; Rodentia; Heteromyidae. The record is from Rfam by way of RNAcentral.